Branchiostoma floridae (Florida lancelet) is the source of this 1355-nucleotide long non-coding RNA. RefSeq lists it as uncharacterized. The record is from RefSeq and is a predicted model, not a curated record. NCBI's taxonomy places the organism in Eukaryota, Metazoa, Chordata, Leptocardii, Amphioxiformes, Branchiostomatidae. The transcript is spliced from 2 exons.
AAGGUUUGAUCCACUAAUUGGGAAGGAGCCAUACUCUUUUCAAUAAAUGUGAUCGGUUCUUUGAUGUGGUCACGGUUUUGCUGUCCUCGAACAGGGGACUGACUUUAUGUACAAUCUGACAGGAUGUUUUUGUAAACAGAUGUUGCUGCCCAAAGCGCCACAAGGCACGAUAGGGGAACGUUUCACAUUGUCUUUUUAGCUUUUCAGCCUCUUAGUAUGAACUCGGACUGUAAGUAAGCUAGCUUGAUAAAGGUGACAUGAUUAUUCGUUUUUGCUUGGACAUUCAUGUGCUCAGCUUAUUAGACUGUUGUCGGGUCUUCAGAUGUUUUGCAUCUUUCUGGAUCUCAUGUUGAUGCUUCCCUCCCCUCCCCAGACUCCAUGCAGCAGUACCUACUCCAGUUACGACAGGAGACCGGCAUGAGGCUGUGUGAGAAGGUCUUUGACCCCAACACUGACCAGCCCAGUAAGUGGUGGAUGUGUUUUGUCAAGAGGAAGUUCAUGGACAAGAGUCUGUCUGCACCUGGCAUGUAAGCUUCAGCCAAGAACCAAGAAUUUUCAUCAAUUUCUCAGAAAAAAAGAUGUUUCUUAGAAAAAAAUAUCUUCCUUUCUUUGUACAAUGUACCAAUAAGGCCACAUUGACAUGACUAUUAUAGUAUAUAGAUGACACCUCUUGCAUCACUUUUCAGAAAGUGAGGAAAGAGUGCACAAAGUGAGACAAGACAGGUGUAUGCAUUUUUAUAGUUUAUUGUUUUCAAUAAAACAUGUUUCAAAUGAUUGACACAUUUUAUAUAUUGGUAUACGUUUAGCAGUUGAAUGGAAAUUAUUUGACAUAAUUAAUUUCAAAGACAGUAAGUGCAUACAUACACCAUGCAUACAAAAUGAUACUUUCUCAUUUAUAUCAAGGAUUUGAAUUCAAUAAACGCUGUCCACAUCAGUUUUCUACAACUUUCUUAAUAAGAUUUUGUUCCAAUAUAUGCUGCUUUUCUUCAUUUUUCCAUAGUGCUGUUAGAUUAUUAUUUGUAUCUAGGGCAAAGUUAUCAAGGGUUAUACCCGCAGUUUAACUAUGUACAGCCUCAUUACUCUAACGGGUACCUACUGGCUGUCUCUCAAGGUGAAUUAUAUACUAGUAUACAAACUGUGUAACUAUGGCACAAACCUUUACAUAGUCCUAUAUCUUCAUACAAAAUCAAUAUGCAUACUAGUUUACAGGUUUUAUUCCAGUAUCAUAAAACAUAUGGUGAUGACUCAUAGUGAAAGAGGUAAAAUUUGCGGAUAAUAUUUUGAUUCCAAAAUGAUGCAUGUCUGAUGACAUUUGAUGCCUAUGUCAAUAAAUAUACCAUUUACAACGACAAGAA